This 421-nucleotide ribosomal RNA is filed under the name uncultured bacterium. Its description in RNAcentral is "bacterial SSU rRNA". It matches the Rfam family "Bacterial small subunit ribosomal RNA", at positions 93 to 526 of the family's 1533-position model. The record is from RNAcentral.
AUUUGGCGGACGGGUGAGUAACACGUGAGCAACCUGCCCCCGACUUCGGGAUAACUUCGGGAAAUCGGAGCUAAUACCGGAUACGAGACGCACGGGCAUCUGUAGCGUCUGGAAAGAUUUAUCGGUCAGGGAUGGGCUCGCGGCCUAUCAGCUAGUUGGUGAGGUAACGGCUCACCAAGGCGACGACGGGUAGCCGGCCUGAGAGGGCGACCGGCCACACUGGGACUGAGACACGGCCCAGACUCCUACGGGAGGCAGCAGUGGGGAAUAUUGCACAAUGGGCGCAAGCCUGAUGCAGCGACGCCGCGUGGGGGGUGAAGGCCUUCGGGUUGUAAACCCCUUUCAGCAGGGAAGAAGCGAAAGUGACGGUACCUGCAGAAGAAGCGCCGGCUAACUACGUGCCAGCAGCCGCGGUAAUAAU